GAAUUUUGCAUCAUUUUUUCCGCUUUCAUCUUCAGCAGCAGCAGAAACAACCAUGUCAUUGAACGUGGGUAGUUCUCAAGGUUUUACAGACUACUUUCAAGUUAACAAGGAAAAUGGGUUCUUGGGCUUGAUCCAGGAGAUGGAAGAUCAUCAACAUCAUCAUCAUCAUCCUGUGAUGGGUGGUUUCAAUGGUAACAAUAGCAACAAUUAUAUCAACUUGUCUUCUCAGAAUAAAAGCUUUGGUGGGUCUGAAAAUGAAGAGAAAUUAUUGGGGAAGAAGAAGGGAUCGGAGAAGAAAAUAAGAAAGCCUAGAUAUGCCUUUCAAACAAGGAGCAGAGUU
This 340-nucleotide unclassified non-coding RNA is filed under the name Hevea brasiliensis (rubber tree). Lineage: Eukaryota; Viridiplantae; Streptophyta; Magnoliopsida; Malpighiales; Euphorbiaceae. The record is from RNAcentral.